UCCCUCAUAGCUCAGUAGGUAAAGAAUCUGCCUGAAAUGCAGGAGACCUGGGUUCGAUUCCUGGGUUGGGAA
RNAcentral lists this transfer RNA (72 nucleotides) under Ovis aries (sheep). It matches the Rfam family "tRNA". From Rfam's summary of the family: Transfer RNA (tRNA) molecules are approximately 80 nucleotides in length. The record is from Rfam by way of RNAcentral. Lineage: Eukaryota; Metazoa; Chordata; Mammalia; Artiodactyla; Bovidae.